AAUAUUGGACAAUGGGGGGAACCCUGAUCCAGCCAUGCCGCGUGUGUGAAGAAGGUCUUCGGAUUGUAAAGCUCUUUAAGUCGGGAGGAAGGGCAGUAAGUUAAUACCUUGCUGUUUUGAUGUUACCGACAGAAUAAUCACCGUCUAACUUCGUGCCAGCCGUCGCGGUAAUACGAAGGGUGCAAGCGUUAAUCGGAAUUUCUGGGCGUAAAGCGCGCGUAGGUGGUUUGAUAAGUUGGAUGUGAAAGCACCGGGCUCAACCUGGGAAUUGCAUCCAAAACUGUCUGACUAGAGUAUGGCAGAGGGUGGUGGAAUUUCCUGUGUAGCGGUGAAAUGCGUAGAUAUAGGAAGGAACACCAGUGGCGAAGGCGACCACCUGGGCUAAUACUGACACUGAGGUGCGAAAGCGUGGGGAGCAAACAGG
This 424-nucleotide ribosomal RNA is filed under the name uncultured bacterium. Its description in RNAcentral is "partial 16S ribosomal RNA". It matches the Rfam family "Bacterial small subunit ribosomal RNA", at positions 360 to 776 of the family's 1533-position model. The record is from RNAcentral.